Molecule: non-coding RNA, 30 nt
Filed under: Mus musculus (house mouse)
Lineage: Eukaryota; Metazoa; Chordata; Mammalia; Rodentia; Muridae
Source: RNAcentral
UAUUAGGAGAAAUUGCUAGUGGAAAUUUGU